RNAcentral lists this ribosomal RNA (650 nucleotides) under uncultured bacterium. Its description in RNAcentral is "bacterial SSU rRNA". It matches the Rfam family "Bacterial small subunit ribosomal RNA", at positions 41 to 723 of the family's 1533-position model. The record is from RNAcentral.
UUCAGGCCUAACACAUGCAAGUCGAACGAAGGCCCGGAGCUUGCUCCGGUCACCUUAGUGGCGGACGGGUGAGUAACACGUGGGAACCUACCUAGCAGUACGGAAUAACUGUGGGAAACUGCAGCUAAUACCGUAUACGCCCUACGGGGGAAAGAUUUAUCGCUGUUGGAUGGGCCCGCGCCUGAUUAGCUUGUUGGUGAGGUAAAAGCUCACCAAGGCUACGAUCAGUAGCUGGUCUGAGAGGAUGAUCAGCCACACUGGGACUGAGACACGGCCCAGACUCCUACGGGAGGCAGCAGUGGGGAAUAUUGGACAAUGGGGGCAACCCUGAUCCAGCCAUGCCGCGUGAGUGAAGAAGGCCCUAGGGUUGUAAAACUCUUUCACCAGGGACGAUGAUGACGGUACCUGGAGAAGAAGCCCCGGCUAACUCCGUGCCAGCAGCCGCGGUAAUACGGAGGGGGCUAGCGUUGUUCGGAAUUACUGGGCGUAAAGCGCGCGUAGGCGGUUUAUCCAGUCAGGCGUGAAAGCCCCGGGCUCAACCCGGGAACUGCGCUUGAUACUGAUAGACUAGAGGCCGGGAGAGGGUAGUGGAAUUCCCAGUGUAGAGGUGAAAUUCGUAGAUAUUGGGAAGAACACCGGUGGCGAAGGCG